RNAcentral lists this ribosomal RNA (165 nucleotides) under Sclerotiniaceae sp. Its description in RNAcentral is "partial large subunit ribosomal RNA". It matches the Rfam family "Eukaryotic large subunit ribosomal RNA", at positions 100 to 261 of the family's 3401-position model. Lineage: Eukaryota; Fungi; Ascomycota; Leotiomycetes; Helotiales; Sclerotiniaceae. The record is from RNAcentral.
CGCAACAGCUCAAAUUUGAAAUCUGGCCUCUUUGGGGUCCGAGUUGUAAUUUGGAGAGGAUGUUUCGGGUACGGUCCGGGCUUAAAUUUCUUGGAACAGGACGUCAUAGAGGGUGAGAAUCCCGUAUGUGACUGGAUACCUAUGCUCAUGUGAAGCUCUUUCGAC